CCUACGGGCGGCAGCAGUGAGGAAUAUUGGUCAAUGGACGAGAGUCUGAACCAGCCAAGUAGCGUGAAGGAUGCCUGCCCUAUGGGUUGUAAACUUCUUUUAUAUGGGAAUAAAAUGUUCCACGUGUGGGAUUUUGUAUGUACCAUAUUAAUAAGGAUCGGCUAACUCCGUGCCAGCAGCCGCGGUAAUACGGAGGAUCCGAGCGUUAGCCGGAUUUAUUGGGUUUAAAGGGAGCGUAGGUGGAUUGUUAAGUCAGGUGUGAAAGUUUGCGGCUCAACCGUAAAAUUGCAGUUGAAACUGGCAGUCUGGAGUACAGUAGAGGUGGGCGGAAGUCGUGGUGGAGCGGUGAAAUGCUUAGAUAUCACGAAGAACUCCGAUUGCGAAGGCAGCUCACUGGACUGCAACUGACACUGAGGCUCGAAAGUGUGGGUAUCAAACAGGAUUAGAUACCCCUGUAGUC
Molecule: ribosomal RNA, 460 nt
Filed under: uncultured bacterium
Lineage: Bacteria
Description: partial 16S ribosomal RNA
Rfam family: Bacterial small subunit ribosomal RNA
Source: RNAcentral